This 2021-nucleotide long non-coding RNA is filed under the name Fukomys damarensis (Damara mole-rat). RNAcentral's name for it is "lncRNA (ENSFDAG00000029446.1)". The record is from RNAcentral. Lineage: Eukaryota; Metazoa; Chordata; Mammalia; Rodentia; Bathyergidae.
CAGGGGUGCAGCGGAGGGGCUGAGCAUGUGCUGUUUGGUAUUCACAAUGGCCUGGGUUUCAUCCUCAGCACCAAAAGGGUAAAAAAGUGCUUGAUCCAAAGCAGGCAGGGUGGAUUGUAUUACUGUACAGUUUGCUGCCAGCCACUCUUUUCUCUUUUACAAAUGACGCUUCCUUCCCACCCAUUCGCUGCAGGCUCAUUCACGUCACUUGCAUUGACCAAUAGCACAAGAGCAGAGUGUCACGUGUGUACCAGUCGGGAGGUUAAAUCCAGGAACUUCCUAGGCUCCUGUUAAACUAUUUGCAGUUUGAAAUCGGAUAUGGUAACAUGACCAUCGAAAGAGCCAACACUAUAAGUCAAGACUUCACUCCCCCUUCCCCGAAGUUGGUUUAGCAGCUCUCCAGAGAGUGGUCUCAGCACGCCUCCGGGAGACUGACGCUGGAGGAUCACAAAGUCGAACCCGUCCUGGGCAAUUUCUAGACUUGGCGAGACCUGGUCUCAAAGUGAAAAAUGUAAAGGGGCUGGGGCGGGGGGAUGUUUCAGACUGGAGUCCAGAAUAGAGAAAACCGGCGGAGUAGCCCCCAGAGCUGCUGCAAAUGACGUAACUGCUUUGGGAAGUGGACCUCUGUUCGGAGCUCGGCGUUGCCGGGUUGUUCCUCACCCGCGCCCAGGGCAACAGAACAGGCCGCCAGGCUCUAGGCGCGGAUUUCUCUUCCCAGCCGGGGUCGAUCCGAAUCUUGGAAGCUGAAAGACCACUACGCAGGGACAGCAGCCCCUUCCCGAGCCUCGCCGAGCCCCGGGGACACCCGAGACUCGAGAAUUGGGUUCUGUGUCUUUAAGGGGAGCGGGGGCUUCCGGCGGGGNNNNNNNNNNNNNNNNNNNNGGCUGGGUCCAGCGCCUCCUCGCCGCGGCUCCACUCCCACCCCAAGCCUUGCAGGCCACGCCCUCCGCCGUCCCCGCCGGGUCCCUCCUUCCCCUCAGUGCUGAACAAAGGGACUCGGUCCUCCAGACGCCCUGGGCGGUUCUCUGUGAACACUCACUGUCCGCCCAGGACCCGAAGCUUCCCAAAGUCGAGGGUUUUUGGCCCUGGGAAAGGAAGAAAGAAGGACUCGCCCCAGCUGAACUUGUGAUCAGCAGCGACUACAAGGACACCGUGUUUCAGAGCCGCUGCUGUAGAAAUAGCUUAUCCUUCCCAGUUGUGUUUAAUCAGAGAGCAUCUGGACUUUUAUCAUCUCCCUGUCUCUGAUUCAGACGCUGUCAGAUGACACAGGCACUGGAGAGCUCACUGAGGUAAAUUCUCUGCAGGAUCCAGGAGUCUUUCCUUUGUUGUCUCACUGCCAUGAAAUGUCCCCAGCAAGCUUGUCUAGGAUGCUACUCACUUCUACUCCUAAAGAAACAAAAUUUUAAUCCUCAAAGUUUUAUGUUUUUGUUCAUUUCUGAAGUUUGCAGUACCCAGAGAAGAAUGACCCCUGUUCCAAAGAGAAAAAAAGUAACAUUUUUUAAGGACGUGAAGACUAGUUAGAUCUAUGCCCACAACACUUACUUUGGUAGCUUCUUUCCAUCCAAGAAGUUCCGCUUUCCACCAGUAGUGUAAAUGUUACCUGGAGUAAUUUGAUCUCAGAGAGUAUUCCUAGUACGAGAAGGGUGAGACCCUGCUAAUUUGCUUUUCUGUGGCAUCCACACGGUUAGUAUUAUAAGGAGGAAGAAGACCCAGGGAUCAGUAAGAGUUGCACGUGUAAUAAACGGAGGCAAAGCAUAGUCAGCUAAUCACAGCCAUAGUUGUGUGUGUAUAAUAAUUGCUCCUCUUAUUCUUUGGAUGCAGAUGCUGCUGAAACGAUGCCCAGUGAAGAGCUUGCGCUGACCAUGGAAGAAAGCAGCAGUCAAGAUGAAGCUGAGGCGCAGGUCGGCCCGUGUCCUGGCCGCCUGGGGGCGUCCUACGCCGAGGCCUGGGGGUACUUCCACCUGGCAUCUUCGCGCCCCGGGUACCCGUCGGGCCGCUGGGCCACCUGCCGGCUGUGCGGG